UACGGAGGGUGCAAGCGUUAUCCGGAUUUAUUGGGUUUAAAGGGUCCGUAGGCGGAUCUGUAAGUCAGUGGUGAAAUCUCAUAGCUUAACUAUGAAACUGCCAUUGAUACUGCAGGUCUUGAGUGAGAUUGAGGUAGCUGGAAUAAGUAGUGUAGCGGUGAAAUGCAUAGAUAUUACUUAGAACACCAAUUGCGAAGGCAGGUUACCAAGUCUUAACUGACGCUGAUGGAC
RNAcentral lists this ribosomal RNA (231 nucleotides) under uncultured bacterium. RNAcentral describes it as "partial 16S ribosomal RNA". It matches the Rfam family "Bacterial small subunit ribosomal RNA", at positions 524 to 754 of the family's 1533-position model. The record is from RNAcentral.